Ahaetulla prasina is the source of this 2191-nucleotide RNA transcript. It is a transcript of the gene named major histocompatibility complex class I-related gene protein-like, with no coding region annotated. Lineage: Eukaryota; Metazoa; Chordata; Lepidosauria; Squamata; Colubridae. The transcript is spliced from 10 exons. The record is from RefSeq and is a predicted model, not a curated record.
CUUUCUUCGGCCGGGAUUUCCCGGAAAGUGGAGCGCGGGUUGAGGAUCGCGGAGAGAGGAUGGCUCUGCGCUCCGCGCCCCUCUUGCUCCUGGUGUUGGUGGGGGUCGCUCUGCGGGAGAGCUGCUUCGGCUCCUCUUUGCACUCCAUGAAGUAUUUCUCCACCUCCAUCUCGGAGCCCAGUUGGGGGCUGCCCCACUUUGUUGUCCUGGGGUACAUGGACGAUCAGGUCUUUGUUCACUAUGACAGCAAGAGCAGGAAGUUCCAGCCUCGAGUCCCCUGGAUGGAGAAGGAGGAUUCCAAGUACUGGGACAGAUACACUGAGAUCUUACAUGACAAUGAGAAGAUGUACACAAAAGACCUGGAGAAUCUAAGGAGUCGCUACAAUCACAGCAAAGGCUUUCACACAUGGCAGAGGAUGGUCGGCUGUAAGCGCCAGGCUGACAGGAGCAAAGGAGGACUUUGGCAGUAUGGCUACGAUGGGAGGACCUUCAUCGCCUUUGACAAGGACACUCUCACCUGGGUGGGUCUCGACCCCCAGGCCCAGGUGACCCAGAGGAAAUGGAAUGCUAUUCCAGGACUGAAUCAGUACACUAAGUCCUACCUGGAGGAGGAAUGCAUUGAGUGGAUGGAGAAGUUUCUGUCCUACGGGAAGGAGACGCUGCUGAGGACAGAGUCCCCAGUGGUGACGGUGACCAGAAGGAAGGAGGCUCAGGAUGGGAUGGAGACACACGUCUGUCGCGUGGAUGGCUUCUACCCCAGGGAGAUCGAUGCCUCCUGGAAGAGGGACGGGGAGGUCUGGCUGGAGGACACCUUCUAUGGGUCUAUGGCUCCCAAUGCGGAUGGGACCUACCACAAGUGGCUCAGCAUCCGGAUCGAUCCCAAAAAGAGGGACCGCUAUCGGUGCCACGUGGAGCAUGACGGCCUGCAGGAGUCUCUGGAUGUGGAACUGAAGGAACCAAAAUCCAACCUGGGGCUCAUCAUCGGCUGCGUUGUUGUGGCUGCUCUUGUCCUGGUGGGUGUGAUUGCUGGGAUCCUGGUAUUCUUCAAAAGGCGUCGAGAUGACUACAAUGCAGCACCAACAAGUGACAAAGGAUCCAACAGUUCAGACCAGGGAAGCAACCAGGUCAUUUUGCAGCUCCCUCGCAGACGCUGCAGGAUAAGGAAUUUCGGGCUCUGAAGAAGGGUCUGCUUGCCCCCAACCGCUUAUCCUAAAUGGCCAAACUGUAACCCCUCUCAGGAUCUGGCUGUCUUGGAUCAGGAGACUCAGAGUCCUGGAAAGAGGAGAUCUGAGUGUUCUCACUGCAAGUGCGAGUGGACACUCCCAGCAUGAGGAGAGAGGAGAGAAGAUGGGAUCAGCCUUCUUCUGAAUGAGGCCGAACUCUUCAGGCCCUUCCAGCAUGCUGGAACCAGGAUAUAUUUGGGGCCUUACUCUUCAGGUGCCUAAUUUUAUGCAGCAACCCAAGAGUGCAGAGACCCUUGAUUAAUGGGGGAGAGGUCCCCAUAUUACAAUGGAUGCUUUCUAAGCAAAGAAGUGAAAGGAGUAAAACGGAAAAGGGAAAUCUAGAAGAAUGGGUUCUUUCACCCAAACUCCUUUUGGGCUUCUCAGAUGCCUUCAAGAGCUGGUCAUCUUUGAGAGCCUAUAAAUUAAAAUAUUUAAAGCAGGCACUUCCAACCUGGGGGCCGGGGGCCACCUGCAGCCUUGGACAGCUACAGGCCCACAGAACUUUUAAUGUUAUAGUGAAAAUAUAAAAUAUAAAUACUUUGGCCACCUAAUGAGACGGAAGGUCUCACUGGAGAAGAGACUAAUGCUGGGAAAGAUUGAGGGCAAAAGAAGAAGGGGACGACAGAGAACGAGGUGGCUGGAUGGAGUCACUGAAGCCGUCGGCGUGAGUUUAAAUGGACUCCAGAGAAUGGUAAAGGACAGGAAGGCCUGGAGGAACAUUGUUCAUGGGGUUGCGAUGGGUCGGACACAACUUCGCAACUAACAACAACAAAAAUAUAAAGGAAGUUAUUUAUGUACAUUAACUAUAUUAUGUUUUGGGGUUUUUUGCGCCCCAAGACAAUUUCUCCUCACUCGGUGCAGCCCAGGGAAGUCAAAAGGUGGGAGACGAUUGCUUUAAAGCAUUUUGUGAGAAUUCAGUCAGCUGAAUUUUUUAUUUUAUUUUAUUUUAUUUCAUUUGUCACAACAGU